UUUUUAUGAUAUUCUCAUAUUCUUGUCAUUCAUAUUUGCUAAUGUGAUUUAUCUAUAUGCCUUUUGGUGUUACUUUGAUGCAUAUAGCGUUGCAUGUAUUCAUACAUCAUGUUAUUGUGCUAUUGUAAAACUUGUUUGUUGCUUGUCAUUCAUUUUUGCUAUGUGCUGUGUCCAUAUGCCUUUUUAUGUUUCUUUGCUAUAUAUGACGUGGCUCUGUACUUAAACGUCCCAUCAUUGUGUUAUUGUACUAUAUAUAGAUGGUAAAUUUGUGUAUUCUUGUCUUUAAAUUUUGCUAAUAUGCUUAGUCUAUAUGCCAUGUUGUGCUUCUUUGUUACAUAUUUGUCAGUU
RNAcentral lists this long non-coding RNA (348 nucleotides) under Mytilus galloprovincialis (Mediterranean mussel). Lineage: Eukaryota; Metazoa; Mollusca; Bivalvia; Mytilida; Mytilidae. The record is from RNAcentral.